GCUUUUGGUUCAGUGGUAGAAUGCUCGCCUGCCACGCGGGCGCCCCAGGUUCCCGGCAGAUGCA
This is a non-coding RNA of Cordylochernes scorpioides, 64 nucleotides long. The record is from the annotation of a GenBank genome assembly. NCBI's taxonomy places the organism in Eukaryota, Metazoa, Arthropoda, Arachnida, Pseudoscorpiones, Chernetidae.